UGAUGGUGGUGAUGAUGAUGAUGAUGAUGAUGAUGAUGAUGAUGAUGAUGAUGAUGAUGAUGAUGAUGAUGAUGAUGGUGGUGAUGAUGAUGGUGGUGAUGAUGAUGAUGAUGAUGAUGGUGGUGAUGGUGGUGAUGAUGAUGAUGAUGGUGAUGAUGAUGAUGAUGAUGAUGAUGAUGUUGGUGGUGAUGAUGUUGGUGGUGAUGAUGAAGAUGAUGAUGAUGAUGAUGAUGAUGAUGAUGAUGAUGAUGAUGAUGGUGGUGAUGAUGAUGAUGAUGAUGGUGAUGAUG
This is a non-coding RNA of Paramuricea clavata, 290 nucleotides long. The record is from the annotation of a GenBank genome assembly. Lineage: Eukaryota; Metazoa; Cnidaria; Anthozoa; Malacalcyonacea; Plexauridae.